This 550-nucleotide ribosomal RNA is filed under the name uncultured bacterium. RNAcentral's name for it is "partial 16S ribosomal RNA". It matches the Rfam family "Bacterial small subunit ribosomal RNA", at positions 355 to 914 of the family's 1533-position model. The record is from RNAcentral.
UGGGGAAUAUUGCACAAUGGGCGAAAGCCUGAUGCAGCGACGCCGCGUGCGGGAUGAAGGCCUUCGGGUUGUAAACCGCUUUUAAUUGGGAGCAAGCGAGAGUGAGUGUACCUUUUGAAUAAGCACCGGCUAACUACGUGCCAGCAGCCGCGGUAAUACGUAGGGUGCAAGCGUUAUCCGGAAUUAUUGGGCGUAAAGAGCUCGUAGGCGGUUUGUCACGCCUGGUGUGAAAGUCCAUCGCUUAACGGUGGAUCUGCGCCGGGUACGGGCAGGCUAGAGUGCAGUAGGGGAGAUUGGAAUUCCCGGUGUAACGGUGGAAUGUGUAGAUAUCGGGAAGAGACCAAUGGCGAAGGCAGAUCUCUGGGCUGUUACUGACGCUGAGGAGCGAAAGCAUGGGGAGCGAACAGGAUUAGAUACCCUGGUAGUCCAUGCCGUAAAACGGUGGAUGCUGGAUGUGGGACCCUUCCACGGGUUCCGUGUCGGAGCUAACGCGUUAAGCAUCCCGCCUGGGGAGUACGGCCGCAAGGCUAAAACUCUAAAGUGAAUUGAC